GAAACUCAUCACUAGAAAUGCACGAAAGCAUCAAAAGACUGCUCACCUGGCUGGCUACUUGACGUGUGAAUGAUUGAAGUUGUUGGUGUUUUAAUGAAAUAACCCUGUUUUUUCUUUGAGAGGAAAGAAUGGAAUUUCAGCAGGUGGUGUGCUUCCAGGCCCAGGUGCAGUAAGGGUUCUCUCCAGGAGAGCAGAACCAUGUGAGAACCGCAACUCCAUACAGAACAAGACAGCACCGUGGGGAGACUUACAGUUGUGACGUGGGAGGAGGAGGAAAGCAUUGAGGGCAGGUGAAGAAGUCGCGUGUGAGAAGCAGAGGCAGAAGCAAAGCAGAGAGCUGAAAGUCCAGGAGAGAUGGCGCAGAUCAGACAGGGGCGGGCAAUGUAAACACCACAAGAGCAGGAGUCCCAGGUUUGAUUACUGCUACCACUGACCGCAGAGUCUCCUAGCGCCCGAGGCAGGACAAACCAGUGCAGCUGAACUCACCUGCAUCAGCCUGGCCUCCCUCUUCUCAGCUGGAGCACGGCUAUCAGCUGUGUGGCACCUUUGUAUGGCUGGCCCAAAGAAGGAGGAGUCUUGGGAAUAUUGGUUCUCCAGAAUGUAAUGAAGAAAAUUGCAUUACUGUGGUUUUGCAUAUUGAAAAUAUGA
This is a long non-coding RNA of Chinchilla lanigera (long-tailed chinchilla), 648 nucleotides long. RefSeq lists it as uncharacterized. Lineage: Eukaryota; Metazoa; Chordata; Mammalia; Rodentia; Chinchillidae. The record is from RefSeq and is a predicted model, not a curated record. The transcript is spliced from 3 exons.